This 405-nucleotide ribosomal RNA is filed under the name uncultured bacterium. Its description in RNAcentral is "bacterial SSU rRNA". It matches the Rfam family "Bacterial small subunit ribosomal RNA", at positions 355 to 775 of the family's 1533-position model. The record is from RNAcentral.
UGGGGAAUAUUGGGCAAUGGGGGAAACCCUGACCCAGCAACGCCGCGUGAGGGAAGAAGGUUUUCGGAUUGUAAACCUCUGUUCUUGGGGAAGAGAAGAAGACGGUACCCAAGGAGGAAGCCCCGGCUAACUACGUGCCAGCAGCCGCGGUAAUACGUAGGGGGCAAGCGUUGUCCGGAAUGAUUGAGCGUAAAGGGCGCGCAGGCGGCCUAUCAAGUCAGUAGUGGAAGUCCAGCUUUCAAGGUUGGAAGUGCUAUUGAAACUGAAUGGCUUGAGUGCAGGAGAGGUUAUCGGAAUUCCCGGUGUAGCGGUGAAAUGCGUAGAGAUCGGGAGGAACACCAGUGGCGAAGGCGGGUAACUGGACUGCAACUGACGCUGAGGCGCGAAAGUGUGGGGAGCAAACAG